RNAcentral lists this ribosomal RNA (497 nucleotides) under uncultured bacterium. RNAcentral describes it as "partial 16S ribosomal RNA". It matches the Rfam family "Bacterial small subunit ribosomal RNA", at positions 28 to 507 of the family's 1533-position model. The record is from RNAcentral.
GAUGAACGCUGGCGGCGUGCCUAAUACAUGCAAGUCGAGCGAACAGACGAGGAGCUUGCUCCUCUGACGUUAGCGGCGGACGGGUGAGUAACACGUGGAUAACCUACCUAUAAGACUGGGAUAACUUCGGGAAACCGGAGCUAAUACCGGAUAAUAUAUUGAACCGCAUGGUUCAAUAGUGAAAGACGGUUUUGCUGUCACUUAUAGAUGGAUCCGCGCCGCAUUAGCUAGUUGGUAAGGUAACGGCUUACCAAGGCAACGAUGCGUAGCAGACCUGAGAGGGUGAUCGGCCACACUGGAACUGAGACACGGUCCAGACUCCUACGGGAGGCAGCAGUAGGGAAUCUUCCGCAAUGGGUGAAAGCUUGACGGAGCAACGCCGCGUGAGUGAUGAAGGUCUUCGGAUCGUAAAACUCUGUUAUUAGGGAAGAACAAAUGUGUAAGUAACUAUGCACGUCUUGACGGUACCUAAUCAGAAAGCCACGGCUAACUACGUG